UGACGAUGGACAUUGCAAAGAGUGGCGAACGGGUGAGUAACACGUGGGAAACCUACCUCUUAGCAGGGGAUAACAUUUGGAAACAGAUGCUAAUACCGAAUAAAACUUAGUAUCGCAUGAUAUAAAGUUAAAAGGCGCUACGGCGUCACCUAGAGAUGGUCCCGCGGUGCAUUAGCUAGUUGGUAAGGUAAUGGCUUACCAAGGCGAUGAUGCAUAGCCGAGUUGAGAGACUGAUCGGCCACAAUGGGACUGAGACACGGCCCAUACUCC
This 270-nucleotide ribosomal RNA is filed under the name uncultured Lactobacillaceae bacterium. Its description in RNAcentral is "partial 16S ribosomal RNA". It matches the Rfam family "Bacterial small subunit ribosomal RNA", at positions 75 to 339 of the family's 1533-position model. Lineage: Bacteria; Bacillati; Bacillota; Bacilli; Lactobacillales; Lactobacillaceae. The record is from RNAcentral.